GUUAGUGGCGAACGGGUGAGUAACGCAUGGGUGAUCUGCCUCAAAGAGGGGAACAACUGCUCGAAAGGGCUUGUAAUUCCGCAUGUGGUCUAUGCUUUAGGGCAUAGAAGAAAGGGCCUUGGCCCGCUUUGAGAUGAGCCCGUGUCCGAUUAGCUAGUUGGUGAGGGUAAAGGCCCACCAAGGCGAUGAUCGGUAGCUGGUCUGAGAGGACGAUCAGCCACACUGGAACUGAGACACGGUCCAGACUCCUACGGGAGGCAGCAGUAAGGAAUCUUGCACAAUGGGGGAAACCCUGAUGCAGCAACGCCGCGUGAGCGAAGAAGGCCUUCGGGUCGUAAAGCUCUUUUCUGGGGGAUGAGGAAGGACAGUACCUCAGGAACAAGUUUCGGCUAACUACGUGCCAGCAGCCGCGGUAAAACGUAGGAGGCGAGCGUUAUCCGGAUUUAUUGGGCGUAAAGGGCAAGUAGGCGGUGGCAAAAGUCGGGCGUGACAAAUCUUGGCUCAACCGAGAGGGGUCGUUCGAAACUAGGUCACUAGAGGGCAGGAGAGGGAGGCGGAAUUCCUAGUGUAGCAGUGAAAUGCUUAGAGAUUAGGAAGAACACCAGUGGCGAAAGCGGCCUCCUGGUCUGCACCUGACGCUAAGGGGCGAAAGCUAGGGGAGCGAACGGGCUUAGAUACCCCGGUAGUCCUAGCUGUAAACGAUGGAUACUAGAUAUUGGGGGUUAAAACACCCUCAGUGACGAAGCAAACGCGCUAAGUAUCCCGUCUGGGAAGUACGGCCGCAAGGUUAAAACUCAAAGGAAUUGACGGGGGCCCGCACAAGCAGCGGAGCGUGUGGUUUAAUUCGAAGCAACACGAAGAACCUUACCUGGGCUUGACAUGUACAUAGUAGGGAAGCGAAAGCGGACCGGCCCUUCGGGGAGUGUACACAGGUGCUGCAUGGCUGUCGUCAGCUCGUGCCGUGAGGUGUAGGGUUAAGUCCCGUAACGAGCGCAACCCUCGUCGUUAGUUACAAGUGUCUAGCGAGACUGCCGGAUAUAUAACCGGAGGAAGGUGGGGAUGACGUCAAGUCAGCAUGGCCUUUAUGUCCAGGGCGACACACACGCUACAAUGGUCGGUACAAAGGGCGGCGAAGUCGCGAGGCGGAGCGAAUCUCAAAAAGCCGAUCUCAGUCCGGAUUGUAGGCUGCAACCCGCCUGCAUGAAGUUGGAGUUGCUAGUAACCGCAGGUCAGCCAUACUGCGGUGAUACGUUCCCGGGCCUUGUACACACCGCCCGUCACGUCAUGGAAGCUGGCAAUACCUAAAGUCGGUGAGCCGACCUUUAGAGGGGGCAACUGCCUAAGGUAGG
This 1349-nucleotide ribosomal RNA is filed under the name uncultured organism. Its description in RNAcentral is "16S ribosomal RNA". It matches the Rfam family "Bacterial small subunit ribosomal RNA", at positions 91 to 1466 of the family's 1533-position model. The record is from RNAcentral.